Molecule: long non-coding RNA, 620 nt
Filed under: Mus spicilegus (steppe mouse)
Lineage: Eukaryota; Metazoa; Chordata; Mammalia; Rodentia; Muridae
Description: lncRNA (ENSMSIG00000005237.1)
Source: RNAcentral
UAAUAACAUUUUUUUUCAAGACAACAGAAACUUCUGAGAGAAUAGAGAGACAGGCUGAGGAAAGCAAGAGAGUCUCAAUGUGCUGCUAAGUGUGAUCAGACAACAAUGGAAAAUAUCACAGCCAUUCACAUGAACAAGCAAUGAAUGCCACAUUUUCUCCUGCUUCAAGUCAAGCCACAAGCAUGGCGUCGCUUCACUGUUGGAAACAGCAUGGAAACAUGGAAUAUGCAGUGCUACCGCACUGUGCCUCCUCACUGCUGCAGCCUGAGUCAUUCAGAAGUCGCUGCAAACAGGAUGGGAGCCCACACCAGUGCCAUCACAGCUUCUGUCUCUUAAGUCUGACAGGUGAAGUUGAGCCAGUGGAGUGCAUGGGAGUUGUGACUCCUGCUGACCUUAUAUCCAUAAGGUCAUUGGCUGGCCUGCUGAGACUCAGGAUAAACCCAGAAACCAAGAUGGAAGGGUGAUUCUAGCCUCAGGCUUCAUGGAUGAGAGGUCCUGUUCCUUCACUUCGUACUUGAUGAACCUGGGGAGUAAGUAGCCUCUCAUUUACUCGGUUUUUACAUUAGGAUUUGUAUAGCCUCAGUACAUUUCAGAAUUUAAUCCAAAAAAUGAAUUUCAUA